UCCUGGCUGUAAACGCUGCAGACUUGGUGUUGGGAAUCCUACGUGGAUGCCCAGUGCCGUAGAGAAGUUGUUAAGUCUGCCGCUUGGGGAGUACGGUCGCAAGACUGAAACUUAAAGGAAUUGGCGGGAGAGCACAGCAACGGGAGGAGCGUGCGGUUUAAUUGGAUCCAACGCCGGAAAACUCACCAGGAGCGACUGUUACAUGAAGGCCAAGCUGAUGACUUUGCCUGAUUUUCAGAGAGGUGGUGCAUGGCCGCCGUCAGUUCGUACCGUAAGGCGUUCUGUUAAGUCAGAUAACGAACGAGACCCUCACCCUUUAUUGCCACCCAUUACCCCGGUAGUGGAGCACAUUGAGGGG
Molecule: ribosomal RNA, 358 nt
Filed under: uncultured bacterium
Lineage: Bacteria
Description: bacterial SSU rRNA
Rfam family: Archaeal small subunit ribosomal RNA
Source: RNAcentral